This is a long non-coding RNA of Solenopsis invicta (red fire ant), 3533 nucleotides long. RefSeq lists it as uncharacterized. NCBI's taxonomy places the organism in Eukaryota, Metazoa, Arthropoda, Insecta, Hymenoptera, Formicidae. The transcript is spliced from 2 exons. The record is from RefSeq and is a predicted model, not a curated record.
GCGCUGAAACACAAGCAAGUGGAAAAGAGAGAGGUCAGAAAAGAACUUUCUUGCCGGUAGUGCACGCGUGCGUGCGAGCGCGUGUGUAUCGGUGGGUGAAUGUGGACAAACGUCCUCUGUCGUCCCUUCCUCUCCCACCCGUGUCCCCACCCUAUCCAGCCCCCCUCGCGUGCCCCACCAGUGUCCCAAGCUCCGGGUACUCCCACCCCCGCACACUCUCGUCUUUCUCCGUUCGUGUCGUGUCUCCCUUUCUCGCGGUUCGAUUUCUUUCUCUCUCUCUUUCCCCUUCGUCCGGUCGUCCCCUCGAGCGGACUCGGGUGUCCCCCUGUCCCCCACCGCCGGUCUGUCCUUCUCUCUCCGGUUCUGUCUCCGGUAUCGUCGAGGCAACCUAGGGUCGCCGUGGCACCGAGGGUACUUACUUACCCCCAUCCGUCCUCGCGACCGGACCUACCGUCUCCCACUCCCAAUCGACCCUACUACUAGCACCGCCAGCGUCAUUUCUACCACUACCAUUGCUACUACCACUAUCGUUUACUACUACCACACCAACGUCGCCGUCGUCAGUCCGGUACCACCACUAGUGCUGUGCCACCACUAUACGCCGAGUUAUACGAGGACGACCGCGAUGAGUCGCGCGGCGUCCUCCCCUCCAUCCGGAUUUUCUCAUGAGACUCCGGCAUCCAUCAACCUGCUGCUGCCGCCGCCGUCGUACCGUCUCGACUUGUACGAGGACCAUCCGCACGCUACCGGCGCGGCGCGGCAAGAAGAGAGCAACAGUAUUCUCGUUUAGCCAGGUGAAGAAUUACGACGCGAUGUCACCGAACAACAUUGGGGGAUGACAAAAGAAGGCUGGAAAACGAAAGGGGGGGCGGCUGGUGUCACGGCAAGAAACGGCGGGUCGCGCGCGUGCAACAAGUGGUAGAUGCGAAAGAGAGAUCGACGGAUGUCAAGUCGUGGGGAAAUAAAAAAGUCGCCCUUAUCCUCGCGGGGCGGGCUAAUAAAGGUCCGUGACAACAAGCGACAAGAGGGUUCGCCCGGAACUCGGGAGGGAAGAACGGCAGGAAGCACAGAACGAGAGGCUUAAAAUACCGUCGAGUCGGCACAAUGGAAUUUUAUCGAGGCACCUCCGGCCUUUUUUUCUCUCCCUCCACCGCUCUCUUCCUUUUCUUUCUCUCUCUCUUUCUCUUCCUCUACCUCUCGUUUCGCGGUAAUUCGACCUAUCGUGCGCGUAAGCAGAUAAAGCUUCGCGUCAAGCGGAAGAUAAAAAUUUUUUCCAGUUUUCUCGCGGAGCUCCGAAUUACACGUGGAAAUACGACAGGAAAAGUUACACGAGUGCAUGUCAGCUCACACGCAAGAUUAUUAAUUGUACAAAAGCAUGAUCAAUAGAAUGGAGAUCUGUUAUCGAUCGUAGCCUGUUGAAACAUGUUAUAUAAUUCUCGUCUUUUAUCGAACGAAAGAGAGAUUGCAAUUAAGACUAAAAGUAAAGAGAUAUCGCUUUUCGAUCACGAAGUUACUAACGGUCAACGCGAUAAAUGCCCAUUAUAAAACUACGAUAAUUCGAUGCGUAUUUUUUAACUUGCCGUCAAUCGGCGAGAUAAAAAUAUCUACGACUUUCAUUGCAAAGAGUUUAUCUCGAAACCGCCGUGAACGCGAGGUUGUAACGUCCGACGAUAGGGUGAGGGCAAAAAUGCAGGAUCCGCAAUUCCUCGAUGCAUCCUCAAACGGUUCUCGAUCCAUCCGGGUGCACCGGUGAAACUUCUAGUUGCCAAUGCGAUCGGAUCUCUCUUUCGGGGGAGGAGCGGCGUGGUACUGGCGGAUGCUAGCCGUAUACGCGGAUGCCGAUGCGUACGCGGACGCUCGGGAAAAAAAGCAAGGAAGUUCCGCAGGAGGAGAUCGACCGAUUUAAUUAAUUCCACCGAUCCGUAGGCUUUGAUCCCGCCACCGACGGAAUAUCGUGAGUUCACCACGACGGAAAACAAAUAUACGAAGUCCGACGCGGCGUAACUCCCGGCCUGCUUAACAUUACGUAAAAACCAAUUACGUGGGAAUGCUUCUGUUGAUUGGUAUCAGAGAUGGCCCCCGGUAGUGGCGCUCGAACGUAAGCUUGGGAUUGAAAAUACCCGUCGGGGCUGAGGGGAGAAGGGGAGGAGGAGUGGAGGAUCGCGUUGGUCGAAAUGUAUCCGAUGUCAAGAGAAGCGACUGAAGGAUCACCGUCCGUCGGGGAGAGAGCGGCGGCGAACCUGCAAUGGGUGUCCAAGGGGGUUAAACGAGAAUAUGUUGCAUGGCACGUGUCACUUUGAAGCGCGUCCGUGGGGAGGACUCGCGUAUCACCGGACAGAAAUUUUUCAGCAAACCUCGUUAAGUUUUCAUUUGCCAAAUGCAGACGGCAUCGGUCCGACUCCUGGCUGGACGGCUAGGACUGUAACGCCGCCAGCAAUUACCGCGCCCCUUUUUUUUCACCCUCGCGAUAUCGACCGCGCGCGCAACUCCUAUUACAUAUGCGAGCGCGGAUACAGCGUUUAACUCACAGAGAGAGAGAGACGCGUGUCUUAGUGAUUUCAAAAAACAUGCAAUUAACGUCCUUAAUGAAGAGUUUAAUGAGAGAGAAAGAGAGAGACAAAUUAAUCUCGAACCUCGUACAAUAUCAUAUUUCAAAUGUAGAGAACGUAAAGUGUGCAAAACUCAAGACAACGGUUUCACUAAAAUUUUACAACAGUGUACAAGAUUAAUACUAGAACGCACCAGAAUUGAAGUAAACUGGCAAAGUCUAAUAAAGAAAGUUACAACGAAGUUGCUUCACUUGGAGCGAACUGUCGGAGACUUUCCUUCGGACCCGGAGUAUACCUCCGCCUAAGUAAACAGGAAAGUGAAGCUAAAACUAGCCGCGAAGUGCGGCCGGAUCCAGAUAUUAAAUCAAUUCGAGUGUGUAAAUACAUCCUUGCGCUUACGUAUCGCGGACGCGUACUCGAGGAUCGAAGGAGCGACAGAGACGAGAAAGGGAGAGGGGCGGAGGGGAUCGUUACUGUCCACAGAUACAGAGAGUAUGUACCCGAAACCGUAAACGGAGUUCGGACAAACCCCCCGGAUAACCGCCGGGAGGGUGCGCCCGACGACCUUCCUGUGAUCGGCGUUCCGUGUAAUCGCCAAGUAUGCAGAUGAUUAAAUUUGCAACAUCAUCGCGGCAACCCUAAAGGCUCGGUAAAGGGCUGCAGCCAACGGCUAAGCCUUGAUACGAGGAGUUUGACUCCGUGGUUUAAGGGAGGAGCCAACGUCUUCCGGGUCUAAGAUUUCGGGUAUUUUGUUAACGCAAGAAACAGACUUUGUGAGACUGUACGUCACAAAGGGUCGGAUGUCCUGGGAGAAUUGCCAAACGUAAUUCUCGUAUCAUGAUGACGAGUUUUACCAUGCAAUCCUUAUUGCAAUCUGUGUGUUUUUUUUUUAGGUGUUUUUCUCCUAUUUAUAGACUAUUAUAGAUAUAUUUGUAAAAAAAUAUCUUAAUAAAUUGAUAAUAUUACCUAUAUACUACAAUAUAA